AUAAUUAACUACUGAUUAACUAUGACAUCUACAAGAUAUAAUAAUGAAACGUUUUUCAUUUAGAUCAAAUCUAUCCAUUAAAUUGUUGUUUCUAAUCGAACACAUUUGUGGGCUGCACAACAAUAUGGUGGGGUGAAAGCCAGGUUAUGGCUAGACGGGAUCCAGCUUUUGUCAAAUUAACAUCAUAUUUGACUUUUCGCAGCAAGUUAUGAUAAUUUACGAAGCAGGUUAAGAGAAUGAACGUAGCAGCUUAGGAUAAUUGUGUUAAGGUUAUGACAAGAGUUAUGGUUAGGGUUAGCUAAAAUGCAAAAUAAAUCAACUUUUGAUGUUAAUUUGACCAAAGCUGGAUACCUUCUAGUCUUGACCGGGUAACCACGGCAGAAAAAGAGCGGAGUGACUCGAUGUUGUUUUAGGUUUGUAUCUGGUAAAUUUGUGAAUUUAUUAGGCAUAGCUAUCGUGCUUUCUGUCUCUCUGCGGAAGUUUGUUAUUUAGAUGAUUAGAUGGUUCCUCAUCCUGAAAGUAGUCUAUGGUAGAAAACCGAAUCCAUGGUUCGUUUUUUUUUCCGCCAACAUCCGCUAACUUUACCCACAGCUAGCUAGCUAACAGUCAAUGGAAGUGAUAUCAACCGUGCAAUGAUAAGACGAUAACAUGGAGUCCAUUGAUUUGGAGAGGGGGGGCCCUUCUUGCUCUCUAUCUGGAUAUGCCAAUGGAGAGAUAAUGACCCUGGAGAUCUCAGAUGUCUCUCCAGACUUGCUUGUUCUCGAGGUAAAAGACAACAACCUACCUGAAAGUAACCAUGGCAGCCUAGACACGGAGAUGGAUGCUGACUUUUAUAAUGAUGAUGGGCAUGGUUUUGCGAAUGUGGAACUCCAGUUCUUUCCAUGUGAUGCCUGCGAAGCCUCCUUCACUAGCGAACCAGAGCUGGAGCAGCACUUCAUAAGCUCUCAUUCAAUAUGUGAUAUAGCAAGUGAGAGAGCAAGACCGAAAGCCAAGUCAAUGGAAAAAGAAGGUGUCUCACCCCUGCACACCUGCAUGACUUGUGGGAAGGUGUUCAAAUACCUAACUUCAUUUCGAAAACAUGAGGAAACUCAUAUCAAAGCCCUGUACACCUGCAAGACUUGUGGGAAGGAGUUUAAAUACCUAACUUCAUUCACAAAGCACCAGGCCACUCACAUUGUACCAAGACUGAGAGGAAAUCGAAAGUCAAUCAUAACAGUAGGCUUAAAUGUCAAUCAGAAAGUGAAAGGCCUUCACACCUGCAGGCACUGUGGUAAGGGGUUCAAAUACCUAACUUCUUUCAUAAAGCAUGAGAAGACUCACAGGAUAACCAAAAAAAGCAGAAAAAAACAGAGGAACCCUUCAAGUUCUGAGAUUAUUGUACGUCUUGAAGGCAAUAGGAAAGAUGCCACAGAAACUUGUGUAAGGGCCAUCAAGAAAAACAGGAAGAACAGCGACGAUACUGAGGAUCAGGAUGCAUGUAUUCUAAUAUCUUCUGAUGAUGAACUACCCAACACUGCAGAGCAGCAAAUGCCUGACUCUAAAUGUUCUCCUCCUUUCCCUUCUAACUCUAACCGUUCUCCUCCUUUUCCUUCUGACUCUAACCGUUCUCCUCCUUUUCCUUCUGACUCUAACCGUUCUCCUCCUUUUCCUUCUGACUCUAACCGUUCUCCUCCUUUUCCUUCUGACUCUAACCGUUCUCCUCCUUUUCUUUCUGACUCUAACCGUUCUUUUCCUUCUGACUCUAACCGUUCUCCUCCUUUUCCUUCUGACUCUAACCGUUCUCCUCCUUUUCCUUCUGACUCUAACCGUUCUCCUCCUUUUCCUUCUGACUCUAACCGUUCUCCUCCUUUUCCUUCUGACUCUAACCGUUCUCCUCCUUUUCCUUCUGACUCUAACCGUUCUCCUCCUUUUCCUUCUGACUCUAACCGUUCUCCUCCUUUUCCUUCUGACUCUAACCGUUCUCCUCCUUUUCCUUCUGACUCUAACCG
Molecule: long non-coding RNA, 1988 nt
Filed under: Salmo salar (Atlantic salmon)
Lineage: Eukaryota; Metazoa; Chordata; Actinopteri; Salmoniformes; Salmonidae
Description: lncRNA (ENSSSAG00000106251.1)
Source: RNAcentral